RNAcentral lists this ribosomal RNA (373 nucleotides) under uncultured organism. Its description in RNAcentral is "partial 16S ribosomal RNA". It matches the Rfam family "Bacterial small subunit ribosomal RNA", at positions 527 to 896 of the family's 1533-position model. The record is from RNAcentral.
GUAGGUGGCAAGCGUUGUCCGGAAUUAUUGGGCGUAAAUCGCGCGCAGGCGGUUUUUUAAGUCUGAUGUGAAAGCCCACGGCUCAACCGUGGAGGGUCAUUGGAAACUGGAGAACUUGAGUACAGAAGAGGGAAGCGGAAUUCCACGUGUAGCGGUGAAAUGCGUAGAGAUGUGGAGGAACACCAGUGGCGAAGGCGGCUUUCUGGUCUGUAACUGACGCUGAGGCGCGAAAGCGUGGGGAGCAAACAGGGAUUAGAUACCCUGGUAGUCCACGCCGUAAACGAUGAGUGCUAAGUGUUAGGGGGUUUCCCGCCCCUUAGUGCUGCAGCUAACGCAUUAAGCACUCCGCCUGGGGAGUACGGCCGCAAGGCUG